AUGCAGAACAUCAAGGAAAUCUUGAAAAUUAUAUGUGCACUCUAUGUCUUUUUCUUAUGCUUACAAGUAUUCUGCACUCAUACUGUUAUGCAUAAGUUCAGGUCGCAUGUGGAGUUUCAGAUAUAUGCAAUUGAAUUAGAGCACCAUGCUCUCACCCAUGUAAUUUGCAGGGAAAACAUAAUAAGUUCUAAGAACAUAAAUAAAGAAGUUCAUAUUUUGAAACAAAUGAAGUAUUUGGGAACUAAAAUGAAGUAUUUCAAAGUACAGAACUUCUAUUUAGGUUUCUUUUGUGUACUUCUAAUGUCACUGUGCAUGAACUUGUUGUUAUUUUUACAUGUUUUACAUGAUUAUUAUGGUCAUUUCGACCUUCACAAAUUUCAUUUUCUUUUUUCCGUUCAUCUUACAGGUUGA
RNAcentral lists this ribosomal RNA (411 nucleotides) under Triticum aestivum (bread wheat). Its description in RNAcentral is "partial small subunit ribosomal RNA". Lineage: Eukaryota; Viridiplantae; Streptophyta; Magnoliopsida; Poales; Poaceae. The record is from RNAcentral.